GUCUCCUUAGCUCAGUUGGUAGAGCAACUGACUCUUAAUCAGUGGGUCGCGGGUUCGAAUCCCUCAGGGGACACCA
Molecule: transfer RNA, 76 nt
Filed under: Mollicutes bacterium
Lineage: Bacteria; Bacillati; Mycoplasmatota; Mollicutes
Also listed under: 1 other name
Description: tRNA-Lys
Rfam family: tRNA
About the family: Transfer RNA (tRNA) molecules are approximately 80 nucleotides in length.
Source: RNAcentral